This 280-nucleotide long non-coding RNA is filed under the name Lathyrus oleraceus (garden pea). Its description in RNAcentral is "Pisum sativum (pea) long non-coding RNA (PSAT_LNC041119)". Lineage: Eukaryota; Viridiplantae; Streptophyta; Magnoliopsida; Fabales; Fabaceae. The record is from RNAcentral.
AUCAUGAUUGUAACGUAACUCACACAUAAAGGCAAAUAAUUUGUACAAAUGAAUGAACAAACACAAAUAUAAUAAUUCACAUAAAUCCCAAAAAAGAAUGAAUAAUCACAUAAGUCAUAUUAAAAAUAAAACAAUAAAAAAUGAAUAAAUGAUAGAAACAUGUUAGUUAAAUGGUAAGGCUAGAUAAUUAAAUGUGAGAAUUAAAGAAAAUGUGGAAAAAUCAAAAUGUUGGAAAACCAAAGCAACAUACCCGGGUAUUGAACCCACCCCACUCAAGACU